Nothobranchius furzeri (turquoise killifish) is the source of this 2919-nucleotide long non-coding RNA. RefSeq lists it as uncharacterized. NCBI's taxonomy places the organism in Eukaryota, Metazoa, Chordata, Actinopteri, Cyprinodontiformes, Nothobranchiidae. The record is from RefSeq and is a predicted model, not a curated record.
UUAUUUUUGGAUAGUUAGCCUCUCAUUUGUUUCUUUGUGAUGGUAAGCAGCCUUCGUCUUCCUGUUUCUUCUUGUUUUCAAAGCCCAGAGAGACAGCUGCACCUCAGCACCUGAGGGUUUUGGCUCAAACCUGAGUUUGGCCCUUUCUUAACCCCAAACUCCUCUUAAUUUGACACCACUUUCUUUUGCUCUUUUUUUCAGCCCCAGCCUGCUGAGGAUAUGUGCUCACUUUCCUCCUAGGAACAUAUUAGAGUGUCACAGCAGAAGGGUGAAACAAGCCCAUGCAAGCUGCAGAUGAUUCAUUCUGUCUCAGAUGCUGCUCUCAACAGAUUUGGGCUUCAUCUGUUUGAUUCAGAUCAUUUUGUAUCUGAAAAAGCUUUGGGGGAAGACACAAGUGUUAUGAUGCACUAAAAGUGUAACAAAUGUGUAUUCAAAGAUUUCCUUCAACAUUCCGGUCAUUGUGUACUGUUGGCUGGAGAAGCCCUCCUCAUCCAUCUUGCCUUCUGGCUGCAGAACCUAGGAAAGCUGCAUCCCAGUCAGCCCCAUUAAUUCUCUUUACUCUUAGGAAGUGAUCUUAGUAAGUUAGCAUUUAUGAGGCUGUGUUUUUCCCAGAGUUCACAGGCAACUGUGAGCAUGUGUUCUUUCCUCACUCACUCAGUCGUUCCAGUGAAGCAGCACAGAGAAUAAACGAGAUCACACAAUGGAAAGUUUAGAAUUUCUUCUUUUAAUUUUUGCACCAUUUUUACUUUACCCGCUGCUCCUGGAAGGCAUCACAUCAUUAAAGAAAGAAUUACAGUUCACAUGAAGAAUUUAGAGAAUCAUUCCCACCAUGAUAAACCUUUCAUUUUAUUUGCCUUUAACAACAACAACAACAAAAGUAAAUAGGAUCAAACUUCUAAAAUAUUACAGGAGGUGGUUUUUUUCCUAUUGAUACAACUGAAACGCUUUCUCUUGCAGCCUUGUUCAUGUUUCACUGUAAUUAUGCACAAAACGUGAAUGAGUUAGAUAAAUUUCACAAAGUCUGUGCAUGUUGACAUCACACAACAUACAAGCAGGCAUGUGUCACACCCUGUCCUGUCUCCCCAUUUGGUUCAGCCUGUGUCUCUGUUGAUUGCUCCCACCUGCCUCUUGUUUCCCAAUCACCCAAGCUCCCAGCCCUCCUGUAUUUAAACCCCUCCAGUUCUGUGUCUCUUGUUGCCUCAUUGUUUCCAUGUCCUGUGAUCAUUAAAAACCUUUUAAGUUUUCCAGUUUGUCUGCCUGCCUGAUCCCUCCCCAGCAUUUGGAUCCUCACCUCCGCUCCACUCACCAGCGCGUCGUGACAGCAUGUUCAUACAGUACAUGCAUGUCCAUUUGAGAGCGAUUUGCUCCUCCAUAUAAAGAGGAGUCAGUUGAGAUGGUUUGGGCAUCUUGUUAGGAUGCCUCCUGGACGCCUCUCCAGGGAGGUGUUUUGGGCUUGUCCUGCUGGCAGGAUGCCCCCUGGUCGACCCAGGAAACGUUGAAGAAAGUAUCUCCGAACUGUCCCAGGAACGCCUUGAGGUCCUACUGGAGGAGCUGGUGGAAGUGGCCGGGGAGAGUCUUGGACCUUCCCAACUGGAUGUCCCUAGUUGGGAUGCUGCCUCCACGACCCGGACCCAGAUAGAUGGAAGAAGAUGAGAUUUUAAAAAAAUUCAGUGAAAUUGACCUUUAAAUCAUCUUUAUUCUGCAAGAAUGAAAGAAAAUACACCUUUUGAGUGAAGUACUCGAGGACCAGCGCUGCUGGACCCCAAAACAACAGGCUUCAGUCACAUGAGGGCCUCAGCGUGAAGUGGACUGGCCCGUGACCCGAAGAGGGACUGCGACUCCAAUACAAUGACCUCGUGAAGCACAGAGGAGAUGCUUUGUUCUCUGGAAAAACAAACGACAGGAAGAGAGGAACAUACAGACAUGUUAUCAGUGAUUUAGGGAACCUCUGGACCAAAUUACUAAUCAUCCUCGUAUUUGUGUUUAUUUGGAUCUGUAGAGCAGAACAAGGAGGGAGUAGAAACACACCCACAGGUUCCUUAUACAACUAAAAUUUAAAUUUGUACUAAUAAUUGUCCUGGUGAAACGUUCUGGAGGUUACUGAAUGGAUGGAUGAUAGCUGCACAAAUUAGAAACCAGUCUGCAGGACUUAUUGUCUACUGUCAAAUAUUUCAUUUCCUAAUUUCUUACACUGUGGCAGAGGUUUGGUAUAUUGUCUGUGAUAAAUACUGUAUUUCAGUUUUUACACAGUGUCAGGUUCACUAUAACAAACUGAAUGAGCAAGGAGUUCAGCCGUAGCGUGCAAUGUGACCCAGAUGCAGAAGAGGAUUCUAGGAACACCUGAACAGCUCGUGAAGGGAAACGGGAGCGCAUAGAUGUUCUGGGAAGAAAAUAAUGCUGACUCACUGGUCAGGAGAAGGUUGGCUGGGAGAGCUUGGAUGCUAAAUUAAAACAACGACUGAGUGGAGACUGAUUGGUUCUAGGGGUGACAAUGUGGUUGCUGCGUGGCGCACUGAGGUUGAUGGGGGAUGGAGUUCCUGUUGGCCGAUCUGCGGCUGGAGGGGUGCUGGAAAAUGUGGUUGUGACACGCAGUUUGCAAAAAAGAAUGGAAUCAAUAAAAACUGCCUCAAAGCAUUUUUGAGUCUUGAUUCUGUGUAGAAAGAUGAUAAAUGGCACCGCUAUAAAAGCUUUGUGACAGGAUACAAUGGUGCUCUGACUCACACUGAGUUCUGUGUUUGGUAUUUCGUUGUCCGUUGUGUAAUGGCUGAAUGGAAGAGCUCAUUGCAACAUGUGUUGUUUGAAGGAAAGAUUUGCUUUUUGUCACAUGUUAAAUGUUUUGGCACAGUUAGAGCAUUUUGAAAAACAAAAGGUGUUGCUUUGACCUCGAGUGCUGCUGCUUAGACCUGUGUGUUUUGGAAA